GACGAACGCUGGCGGCGUGCCUAACACAUGCAAGUCGAACGGCCCAGCACUCAAGCUUGCUUGGGUGCUGGAUAGUGGCGAACGGGUGAGUAACACGUGGGUGACCUACCCGGGAGACCGGGAUAACAGCUCGAAAGGGCUGCUAAUACCGGAUGACAUCACAGGAUCGAAGUUUUGUGAUCAAAGCGAUUUAGCGCUCCUGGAUGGGCCCGCGUCCCAUUAGCUAGUUGGCAGGGUAACGGCCUACCAAGGCGACGAUGGGUAGCCGGUCUGAGAGGAUGUCCGGCCACACUGGGACUGAGACACGGCCCAGACUCCUACGGGAGGCAGCAGUGGGGAAUUUUGCGCAAUGGGGGGAACCCUGACGCAGCGACGCCGCGUGGGUGAUGAAGGCCUUCGGGUCGUAAAGCCCUGUCUGGGGGGAAGAUAGUGACGGUACCCCCGGAGGAAGCCCCGGCUAACUACGUG
Molecule: ribosomal RNA, 468 nt
Filed under: uncultured organism
Description: bacterial SSU rRNA
Rfam family: Bacterial small subunit ribosomal RNA
Source: RNAcentral